AAAUCGGCAUCACUUGAGUUCAAGUGCGGGUUUAAAAUUUUAAGUGCUCCUCUUUAAAAAAUGAGCCGCGCAAAAUUUGUCUCAAAAUACAUACUGCCUCAUCUUUCUCUCUCUCCGAUACUUUUCCCCCUUCCUCUUCACCUUCAUUUUCUCUCUCCUCUGUCGUCGCUGUCGCCGUCGCUUCCUCACCGCCGGAGAUUAUCACCGAACAUUUGUGUCGCUGCGUAGUUAAUUAUUGUUGUUGUGGGGUUGAUUGUUGAUGUAGCUCCACUCUCCAUCUUCACUUGUCUCUGCGCUCUCUCUUGUCUCCAGUUUGUACCUCCACCGCUAACGGUGGUCGUGAAUCGACCAUCAACUAUAUUCCAUUAUCAAUUGAUGUGUUGUGCUGGUGGUGAUUCCCCCCUUGUACGUUGUGGUUAUUAGUUGUCUUGAAUUUUUUGCUCUUCUCACAUAUCUCCUGCUUCCCUCCUCUGCCUCUCCUCUCUGCCGCUAGACUCACCGGAGCUCGACCUCCGUGGCUCUGCCGGAGCUGUUGCUGCUCCUCUCAUUGGUGUUGUUAUUGUUGAUUUUGUUCUUAUUGAUCUCUCCUCCGCCAACCUAUUUCUCUAAUGGUAUAUACACAGUUACCAAAGCUACCCGUGGAAUCAUGCUGCAAGUGUUAGAUUACAGAAGUAUGUGGCCUUGCUUCGUGAUCACGAAGGUUGUUCUGUUACAUCUGCUACCAGUUGUUACGAGGUAUUCCUUUGAUCUGCUAUCAGCUUUACUCCUUGUCAAUGCUUGCUGCAAAUAGUAACAUACACCACCAAUCUGCCCUCCGUGCCAAAAGGCUUGUUAAUGUUUGGGCUCCUUGAUAACAAACCUAGGUUGAUUAUCACACUUGGUCAUCAAAUUUAGUCCUUGAUUUUGAUGGUUAAGUUUUGGUUGGUGAGGAAAUUCUAAGUACAUUUAUGUUUAUUUAAAGAGAAUUGGUCAUUAAUACUUCUUUGUAUGUCAUUUAAUUUAUAAAGUUGUGCAAUUUAUGGAAAAGAUAGUGGGAAUUAAGCAUGUUUUGUGUACGAUAGGAAUUUGAAGUUGUGAGUUGUCUAAUUAAUAAUAUGUUUUUACUACUUUUGUCCCUUUGAGGACCUUAGGAAUUUAAUCUUUAUGAAAUGUGAUCCCAUUUUUCAAGGUAAUGUGAGUGCAAUUAGUGAUAUGGUAAUUGCAUCUGGAAUUUGUUCCUUUUUUGUAAGAUACAUUCUUACAUAGCCCUAAAGUAUCUUUAUCAACAAUAGAAAUAAUUUCAUCUAUUGAAUAUUUGAGUAGUUAUAGUUGUCAGAGUCAAUCAACUAUAAAUGAUAUACUACAACCUGAUCAUGGCUCAUCAAUGCCACUACUCCCCAUGAAAUCAGACCACUCAGUAUUGCUAUUGUUGACGAUGUUGUUAACAUCGUCGUUGUUGUUGUUGACUCUGUUGUUAACAUCGUCGUUGUUGAUUGGUUCCGACAGAGAAGGCAGGGCUGAAGGAAAUAUGUCCUUCACCCAAGGUGCAUUAAGUCUAAUACCAAGGUUCAGAUUAAUUGCGAACAAUUAAUUCAGUGAGAUCAAGUGAUCGGAACAGCUAGCUGGAGCAAUGCUUCCGAUCAGUGAGUUCUAAUGGAUAUUGAACUCACAGCUUACUCUUGACUGAACCUACAAGCUCACACCAAUGACACGUAACAGAUCACCGGAUUAAAUGAAUUGGAAAUUCAUUUAAUAGCUUUUCGGGAAUUAGUUGGAAAACGUAUUAUACGAUACGACCUUGCAUCGGAAUCGUAUAUCGUAUCGCGAAUAUUAGUAAGCUAGGCGAAACGAAUAAAUCGUAUCGUACGACGGUGAUUCGUCGUAUACGAAACGAUAAAUAAUAUAUCGGAAAUAUAUUUAAUCGCGGAUACGAAGAGCGGCCCACGAGCCGAGUGCACGAAGCACUUGAGGCCCAUGGGCGCGCGCUGGGCAAGCAAGCAAGGCCACGGAAACACGGCAGCGCUGGCCCAUGGCUGCGCGUGUGCGCGCGGGCCGAAGCAGCGACACAGCCACAGCAGCGAGGCCCAUGGCCCAGCUCGCUGUGCUUGUCUCACGCGGGGCUUGCUGGCCGGCCUUGCCUUAAGGCUUGGUCGGUUAGUAAGGUUAUGUUAAUAACCUUCUAACCUCUUUUCAAACAUAACACAAUUCAUACACACAACCCUAGGAGAAAAUAGAGAACCCUAAUUCUCUCUAUGCCUCCACAGUGUGUUCAUCCCAAAAGCACAAACUCUUGAUCAAUUGUCUAAGCUACGAUAAUCAAGACGGAUCCGAUCGUGUCGGUGAACCAAGUAGAGGAACGACAACUGGAGUUCUAAGUUCGUGUUCGUUGACAGAUUAUUGUGGAAAACACGCUUCGAAUGUAAGUUUGCUUAAUCUGUGCUUUAUACAUGUUUCCUGGCUUUGGGGAUUGUUUUCGCACAUGUUAUUAUGUUUAACUGUAUUCCCCUACAAGGGCAGGCACACCUCCUGUUUCGGUGCCAAUGUGCCAUUCUCCGGUUAUUGACGACGGAGCAGCAGUCUGAAACAGUAGUCCGUCUACCGGGUUGGACCGUGUAUUCGGAAUAAUAGGCAGCACAGCAAACAGAUGAGGAGGCUCUGUGGCCUGCUGCAGCCUGCUGCAUCUGUUGUGGUUGCUGACUAGGGGACGAGGAGGCUAUGUGGCCUGCUGCAUCUGUUGUGGCUGCUGACUAGGGGACGCUAUGUCUACCUUGGCGUGUUUGUUCUUACGGAAUCCUCCACCUAGAAUAUUCGAAAAUAUUCAAUGGAUAGGUAUUCAACAAUCCGAGGGAGCAGCCUUUUACCAUUGAGUAGAUAAAUGAAGUUCGAGAAAAGUUGGCAAAGUUCAUUACCAUUUAUUGUCUUUGAUAUUUUCUUGUAGUGAAUCUUAGAUUAUGGAUGCUAGUUUUUCAUAGGAUUGUAAUUUAAUCAAUUUUUAUAUUUAUAAUUAUAUACUAUUCAAUUUAAUCUA
This is a long non-coding RNA of Spinacia oleracea (spinach), 3007 nucleotides long. RefSeq lists it as uncharacterized. NCBI's taxonomy places the organism in Eukaryota, Viridiplantae, Streptophyta, Magnoliopsida, Caryophyllales, Amaranthaceae. The record is from RefSeq and is a predicted model, not a curated record. The transcript has 6 exons.